CGGGUCGAAUCUCUUGAAAACUCAUUCGAGGCGUUGGAGGGACACGCCAUGGGAAAGAUAGAAACUCUACAAAUAAAUGUCCAAGAGGUAAUGGACACACAGGCAUCAUUGGGGGAUGAUGUCCAAGCAAUGAAAGGUGAUGUUCGAGCUGUGGUAGCCGGACAAGCCGCGGUGAUGGAUGAUUUUGGUCGUCUCCAAACCAAAGUCAUGGAUGCCGUUUCCGCUAUGCAUGGCCAAGUUAACCAAUUGGCUAUGAUGAUGGAAAGAAUGAGCAAGGAGCUUGAUCAAUACAAGCACUCCACUGUCGGUACAAGUGGAGGUGCCGCUUCAAGUAUUGUUGCCCCGAGGAUUGAAUACCCGAAGCCUAAACAUUAUGAUGGGCGACGGGAUGCCAAAGAUGUGGAAAACUUCCUAUGGCAAAUGGAAGUCUAUUUUGAAGUCGUAAAUCUUGUUGAUGAAGCCAUGAAAGUUUGAACUGCUUCUAUGUAUCUCUCGAAUAUUGCGGCGUUGUGGUGGCGUCGUAAGCAUGGUGAAAUUGCAAGGGGAUCUUGUAGGGUUGAUACUUGGGAUGAGUUCAAAAGGGAAAUAAAGAGGCAAUUCUACCCGGAGAAUGUCGUCUAUGAGGCACGCAAGAAAUUGAGGGAACUGAAACAUACAGGAACAAUUCGUGACUACGUCAAAGAGUUCACGACCCUUAUGCUUCAAAUCCCAAGUAUGCCGGAGGAUGAUUUGCUAUUCUAUUUUCUAGACGGUUGUGC
RNAcentral lists this long non-coding RNA (758 nucleotides) under Olea europaea subsp. europaea. The record is from RNAcentral. Lineage: Eukaryota; Viridiplantae; Streptophyta; Magnoliopsida; Lamiales; Oleaceae.